UGGGGAAUAUUGCACAAUGGGCGCAAGCCUGAUGCAGCCAUGCCGCGUGUAUGAAGAAGGCCUUCGGGUUGUAAAGUACUUUCAGCGGGGAGGAAGGGAGUAAAGUUAAUACCUUUGCUCAUUGACGUUACCCGCAGAAGAAGCACCGGCUAACUCCGUGCCAGCAGCCGCGGUAAUACGGAGGGUGCAAGCGUUAAUCGGAAUUACUGGGCGUAAAGCGCACGCAGGCGGUUUGUUAAGUCAGAUGUGAAAUCCCCGGGCUCAACCUGGGAACUGCAUCUGGUACUGGCAAGCUUGAGUCUCGUAGAGGGGGGUAGAAUUCCAGGUGUAGCGGUGAAAUGCGUAGAGAUCUGGAGGAAUACCGGUGGCGAAGGCGGCCCCCUGGACGAAGACUGACGCUCAGGUGCGAAAGCGUGGGGAGCAAACAGG
This 429-nucleotide ribosomal RNA is filed under the name Chloroflexota bacterium. RNAcentral's name for it is "Chloroflexi bacterium partial 16S ribosomal RNA". It matches the Rfam family "Bacterial small subunit ribosomal RNA", at positions 355 to 776 of the family's 1533-position model. The record is from RNAcentral. Lineage: Bacteria; Bacillati; Chloroflexota.